RNAcentral lists this ribosomal RNA (250 nucleotides) under uncultured bacterium. RNAcentral describes it as "partial 16S ribosomal RNA". It matches the Rfam family "Bacterial small subunit ribosomal RNA", at positions 524 to 773 of the family's 1533-position model. The record is from RNAcentral.
UACGUAGGGUGCAAGCGUUGUCCGGAUUUAUUGGGCGUAAAGAGCUCGUAGGCGGCUCGUCGCGUCAGCUGUGAAAACCCGCGGCUUAACCGUGGGCCUGCAGCUGAUACGGGCGGGCUAGAGUUCGGUAGGGGAGACUGGAAUUCCUGGUGUAGCGGUGAAAUGCGCAGAUAUCAGGAGGAACACCGGUGGCGAAGGCGGGUCUCUGGGCCGAUACUGACGCUGAGGAGCGAAAGCGUGGGGAGCGAAC